AUUGAACGCUGGCGGCAGGCCUAACACAUGCAAUUCGAACGAGUGGCGGACGGGUGAGUAAUGUCUGGGAAACUGCCAGAUGGAGGGGGAUAACUACUGGAAACGGUAGCUAAUACCGCAUACCAUCAGAUGUGCCCCGAUGGGAUUAGCUUGUUGGUGGGGUAACGGCUCACCAAGGCGACGAACCCUCGCUGGUCUGAGAGGAUGACCAGCCAGACUGGAACUGAGUAGCGGUCCAGACACCGAAGGGAGGCAGCAGUGGGGAAUAUUGCACAAUGGGCGCAAGCCUGAUGCAGAAUGCCGCGUGUAUGAAGAAGGCCUUCGGGUUGUAAAGUACUUUCAGCGGGGAGGCGGUACCCGCAGAAGAAGCACCGGCUAACUCAGUGCCAGCAGCCGCGGUAAUAC
RNAcentral lists this ribosomal RNA (405 nucleotides) under uncultured bacterium. RNAcentral's name for it is "partial 16S ribosomal RNA". It matches the Rfam family "Bacterial small subunit ribosomal RNA", at positions 30 to 526 of the family's 1533-position model. The record is from RNAcentral.